Molecule: ribosomal RNA, 334 nt
Filed under: uncultured bacterium
Lineage: Bacteria
Description: bacterial SSU rRNA
Rfam family: Bacterial small subunit ribosomal RNA
Source: RNAcentral
CGUGUAGGCGGCUCGUGAAGUCAGGAGUGAAAGCCCGGGGCUUAACCCCGGGACUGCUUUUGAAACCAGCGGGCUUGAGUACAGGAGAGGGAAGUGGAAUUCCCAGUGUAGCGGUGAAAUGCGUAGUUAUAUUGGGAGGAACACCAGUGGCGAAAGCGGCUUCCUGGCCUGUAACUGACGCUGAGGCGCGAAAGCGUGGGGAGCAAACAGGAUUAGAUACCCUGGUAGUCCACGCCGUAAACGAUGGGUGCUAAGUGUUGGGGGUAUCGACCCCCUCAGUGCUGUAGUUAACGCAAUAAGCACCCCGCCUGGGGAGUACGUUCGCAAGAAUGAA